Molecule: long non-coding RNA, 704 nt
Organism: Ostrea edulis (European flat oyster)
Lineage: Eukaryota; Metazoa; Mollusca; Bivalvia; Ostreida; Ostreidae
Exons: 2
Source: RefSeq, a predicted model, not a curated record
UUCCUCUGCGUGGACAUUUUUUUCCAGGGUUGGGAAAGGGUGAACUUUAACAUCAUCCAAAGUAGAUAUACACCCCUUUCUUUCCAUUAUCUGAAUUGCUACCUUUCGUGCCACAAAAUCCAUAUUUUGUUAAAGACAGUUUUGUUACCAGAGUAAACAAUAUCAACCGGAAGUACCCCUGCUGAACAUUUUGUUCAUGUCACGUGAUCGGCGUGGCUAAAUGCGAAAAAUCCCGGGUGUUCCGGAUGAACUCAAAACGUGCCUAUUGAUGAGCCGUCUACAGUCAGUGUAAAACUUGGAAUGAAAUAAACCUACCAAGAACUGCAAUCUCUUUGAAAGAGUCCCCCUGUUCCCAUCGGGCCUACCUUCAAUAACUAUGUGACACAGACGUAUCAGUUCUUAUAGGAAGGGAUUACUCAAAUACAUAUUGACUGCUGUGAAGUUUUGCAUUUUCAAAACAGACUGAAAGUGAAACAGUGAUGUUUAAUGAAACCUCAAUUUUCUCUAUAUUCACUUGUACAUAGUAUGCUAUAUAAUUAUCAUUCAGUCUGUAAAAAUGGAAGAGGUGAUUGACAAUUUUCGCUGCAAGGAUGCAACAAUCAACCUUGUUCACUCAGGCAAUUUUGGAUACUCAUUUUUGUGGCCACAAAAUUUUCUACAUGAUAAAACAAUAUAGACAAUAAAUCACAAUAUACUAGGAAAGA